GGAGAGGUGGCCGAGUGGUUUAAGGCAGCGGUCUUGAAAACCGCCGAGGGUUACACCUCCGUGAGUUCGAAUCUCACCCUCUCCGCCA
RNAcentral lists this transfer RNA (88 nucleotides) under Deltaproteobacteria bacterium. RNAcentral's name for it is "tRNA-Ser". It matches the Rfam family "tRNA". Rfam says of the family: Transfer RNA (tRNA) molecules are approximately 80 nucleotides in length. Their secondary structure includes four short double-helical elements and three loops (D, anti-codon, and T loops). Further hydrogen bonds mediate the characteristic L-shaped molecular structure. tRNAs have two regions of fundamental functional importance: the anti-codon, which is responsible for specific mRNA codon recognition, and the 3' end, to which the tRNAs corresponding amino acid is attached (by aminoacyl-tRNA synthetases). tRNAs cope with the degeneracy of the genetic code in two manners: having more than one tRNA (with a specific anti-codon) for a particular amino acid; and 'wobble' base-pairing, i.e. permitting non-standard base-pairing at the 3rd anti-codon position. Lineage: Bacteria; Pseudomonadati; Myxococcota; Myxococcia. The record is from RNAcentral.